This 881-nucleotide long non-coding RNA is filed under the name Anas platyrhynchos platyrhynchos (common mallard). RNAcentral describes it as "lncRNA (ENSAPLG00000023270.1)". The record is from RNAcentral. Lineage: Eukaryota; Metazoa; Chordata; Aves; Anseriformes; Anatidae.
CCCCUUGUAUGCACCUGCACCCCCUGUAUGCACCCGCACUCCUUGCACGCCUGCACCCCCUGCAUGCACCCGCGUCCGUGUGCGCCCCCCCUGCACCCACGUGCACCCCCCUGUGUGUGUGUGCACCCUGCUGCGUGCACCUGCACCCACCUGCACGAGUGUGCACCUGCACCCCUUGCACCUGCAUGUGCGUGCACAAUAACCCUGCACGCGUGUGCACCUGCAUGGGUGUGCUUCCUCACAUGCACCUGCACCCACGUGCACCCCGAUGCGUGCACCUGCACCCCCUGCAUGCAUGCGGCAUCGCCUGGUGUGCACCUGCUUGCACACGCUUGCACACGUUUGCACCCCUUGCACGUGUGCAUCUAUGGCCCUGUGCCUCCUGCACCCGUGUGCGCACCGUGCAUGCACUUGCACACCAUUGCACUUGUGUGUGCAACCCAUGUGCAUGCACCUGCAUCCGUGUGCACACUUUGCAUGCACUCACACCCCUUUGCAUGUGUGUGCAACCCCGUGUGUGCACCCUGUGCAUGCACCUGCACCUCUGUGCAUGCACCAGCCCCCCCUUUGCACCCACGUGUGCAGCCCCCUGCAUGCACCCGUGUGCACCCUGUGCAUGCACCUGCACCGCCUUGCACCCACGUGUGCAGCCCUUGCACCAGCACCCUCACCCGGCUACCCUCGUGCAACCCCUGCACCCACUUGUGCAUCCCCUUGCACGCGCGUUUGCACACCUGCACGUGCUGUUUGCAAGCGUGCCCCCCCCCCCCCCCCGUCUCUCUUUUAUGGGGGGCAUGUCGGGGGGGGGGGGGGCAAAAGGGGGGUGCAGGAGAAGGGAUGCAUGAGUGUGCAAGGCCGUGCACGAGUGUGCAACGCACGAG